Molecule: ribosomal RNA, 420 nt
Filed under: uncultured bacterium
Lineage: Bacteria
Description: partial 16S ribosomal RNA
Rfam family: Bacterial small subunit ribosomal RNA
Source: RNAcentral
AAUAUUGCGCAAUGGGGGGAACCCUGACGCAGCAACGCCGCGUGAGUGAAGAAGGCCUUCGGGUCGUAAAGCUCUGUCAUUAGGGAAGAAGUCUAAUGUACGAAUAAUACAUUAGGUGACGGUACCUAAGGAGGAAGCCACGGCUAACUACGUGCCAGCAGCCGCGGUAACACGUAGGUGGCAAGCGUUGUCCGGAAUUACUGGGCGUAAAGGGCGUGUAGGUGGUCUAACAAGUCAGGUGUGAAACUCCGGGGCUUAACUCCGGGCAUGCAUUUGAAACUGUUAGACUUGAGGGCAAGAGAGGAAAGUGGAAUUCCUAGUGUAGCGGUGAAAUGCGUAGAUAUUAGGAGGAACACCAGUGGCGAAGGCGACUUUCUGGAUUGACCCUGACACUGAGGCGCGAAAGCGUGGGUAGCAAAC